This 75-nucleotide transfer RNA is filed under the name Candidatus Moraniibacteriota bacterium. RNAcentral's name for it is "tRNA-Phe". It matches the Rfam family "tRNA". Rfam says of the family: Transfer RNA (tRNA) molecules are approximately 80 nucleotides in length. Their secondary structure includes four short double-helical elements and three loops (D, anti-codon, and T loops). The record is from RNAcentral. Lineage: Bacteria; Candidatus Moraniibacteriota.
GCCUGGGUAGCUCAGUGGUAGAGCAAAGGACUGAAAAUCCUUGUGUCGUGAGUUCAAUUCUCACCCUAGGCACAA